Molecule: long non-coding RNA, 2282 nt
Filed under: Zea mays
Lineage: Eukaryota; Viridiplantae; Streptophyta; Magnoliopsida; Poales; Poaceae
Description: long non-coding RNA (ZMAY_LNC002536)
Source: RNAcentral
UGAAGAUUCCUAGAAGAAGUUAUUGUCAAAAUACUGAAGGCUGCGCAGAAGUCAAACAGACACACGGAAAUCAACUCUGCAGAUCUCCCGAAGAGGCUCCUUCACAUUAGCACGUGAAAAUACUUUUGUUUCAUGUUUUACCUUGCUAAGGCUGGUUGUUACUAGUAUAAAUACCUCCUAUGUCUAUGAUGUAAAGCAGCUUUUGAUAAUCUAAAACAGAACCCCUUUGUUCAGCUGUGUGCUAACAAAUAUUGAGAGUGAUCUCUACCCCUUUGCUCUUGUGAAUUCCUUCACGGGAUUGCAGAAGCGGCGGCUUCAUCCACUCCCAAGUGGUGCUUCUACUCCCUUCGAGGUCUCCUCGAUUGAUUGUAGGUUGUGUUGGUUGGUUCUUUGAGAGUGUGGUUGGGCGAAUCCUCGAUUCAGGUUGCCGGUUAAAGACGGUGGUUGGUUUCGAGUUUUAUUUGUCAGGUUGCACUAGUUAUCGCUGCUUGCAGCAAGUUAUCUUAGCUUCUUCGAAGCUAGUUAUCUGAAGAUUUAUCCUACGUCGUGAAGAUCGGGCAUUGUGACGCAUCACAUGGUAUAGGUAAAAUUAACAUCAUACCAAACAUGAGUACAAACUAUAUAAUAAUAAUGUACGCGUUGCUACGAGAUCGUUGGUUCGAGAAUCACUACAAUCGGAGUCAUGGUUGAAAAGGUAUGGUUUUCAGAAGACCCAUGCAGUUUAAGGAGUUAAAACUAGACCUUAUGUUGAUUUAAUAGAUCAUGUGAGAAAAUAAUCUAAAUAAAUAAUUAAUUCAACUUUUAAGUUAAAUUAUAAUAUAAUUAGGGAUCAUAUUUUAUCCAAACUAUAAUUAUAAACAGAUUAACUUUGAUUUAGAGAGGUUAAUAUACUAAACAUAGGUUAAAUAAAUAUCUAACUAUAAAAAUAUGAGAUAUGAUAUAACCAAUGCUAUUACAGCAUAGUGAAUAUUUAUACAAAGUUAGGCAAGUGGAACGGGUCAAUUCAGAGUUAAAAUGGAUUUAAUAUGAAUUAUCUAAAUUUCUAUACAUUUUUAUAUUUAAUUUUUAUACAUUAAAUAGUUUCCAGGACUAAACUGCAAAAGCCAGGGGCCUAACUGCUAAGUCAUUCUAUAGUGGAGGGAUGGCGGGUUAAUUCCUUAAAACAUCAAGGGCUUUUUAUAAAUCUGCUCGGCGCGCUACAGGCGGAGGGGUACAGAGACUUUCAGGCCGUUGGAUCUACAUCCAGUGGUCUGGAUUAGAUCCAGCCCCCCGUGAAUAGGUACGCUACAACAGCCACAGGAUCGAGGAUCGACGGUCUGUAACUAACAAAGGUCGAACCAUUGAUACCCAUUCGAUCCUGAUCGGACGGAUCAUCGAUCGUCUGGACGAAACGGUCCCCGACUUCAAUCGUGGCCGCUCACGAGCUGAUCAACGGCCGAGGCUUCGUCUUCCACAACCCACCUCAGCCACGGCGGCGGAGUCACCACCCCGGCGGUGCGCCCACCGGCAACAUGGCCGAUCGACCUCAUUUGCCCAAACCCAAGCGCUAAUUGGUGCAAACGGAAGAGACAGAGAUGCAGAACCAAAUGGAGACCUUCCUACCUGAAAUAGUGGUGACAGCCGUGCUGCCGACGACACGGUGUGGAUUGGUGAGCGCCGUCGUGCAAUUGUCGGCGUCCCGACCACGGCCCACGCCUGACGAGGCCACAUAUAUGUGCGGAGGGAUCCUUCGCUGCCCCAGUACCACCUGUCGAGGCUGGAGGAUCGCACAUGGGCAGAUCGAUGGCGGCAGCGGCAAUCUCUUCUCCCCGCACCCCCCAUCCAUGUGCCUACGGCACCAAGUUGUACACGGCUUCGGCUGGGUGGGGAGUCAUAAUCCUCGUGCUUUAUAGAGUCGCGGCGGAAUCCGGCCAGAGGAGAUCACGGAGUGGGGGUCGGAGUUUCUUUCGAAGCUCACGAUUGUUGCGGUCGAGUUUGUUGCGGCUUACAGUUGAAGAUCCCACACGCGGGGCCCUUGUGUCGAACCAUCAGUGCGUGCUCGUACGUGGUGGAAGGGGACUGAGCCGAGAAAGUUCGUGGCGAGAUCAUCGGGGGUUGUCGCAUGCACGGUGCGCAUGAGAAGUCCGCCAGUGCGCCCACCGGCAUCUGUUUCAGUCCGUCCCAAGGAGGACGACGACCGCUAGGCCGGGUCCACCGUGCAGUGGCACAGGGUGCAACUCCUAAUGCGCGUGGGUGGCGACCAGUGUAGGGGAGGGCCCAUUUAGCGGGUUGGUGGUUCGGAU